AGAGUUUGAUCCUGGCUCAGGACGAACACUGGCGGCGUGCUUAACACAUGCAAGUCGAGCGGAAAGGCCCUUCGGGGUACUCGAGCGGCGAACGGGUGAGUAACACGUGAGUACCUGUCCUGGACUUUGGGAUAACCCUCGGAAACGGGGGGCUAAUACCGGAUACGACACAGUCUCGCAUGGGAUCUGUGUGGAAAGUUUUUCGGUCUGGGAUGGGCUCGCGGCCUAUCAGCUUGUUGGUGGGGUGAUGGCCUACCAAGGCGACGACGGGUAGCCGGCCUGAGAGGGCGACCGGCCACACUGGGACUGAGACACGGCCCAGACUCCUACGGGAGGCAGCAGUGGGGAAUAUUGCACAAUGGGCGGAAGCCUGAUGCAGCGACGCCGCGUGAGGGAUGACGGCCUUCGGGUUGUAAACCUCUUUCAGCAGGGACGAAGCGCAAGUGACGGUACCUGCAGAAGAAGCGCCGGCCAACUACGUGCCAGCAGCCGCGGUAAGACGUAGGGCGCGAGCGUUGUCCGGAUUUAUUGGGCGUAAAGAGCUCGUAGGCGGCUUGUCGCGUCGACCGUGAAAACUUGGGGCUCAACCCCAAGCCUGCGGUCGAUACGGGCAGGCUAGAGUUCGGUAGGGGAGACUGGAAUUCCUGGUGUGGCGGUGAAAUGCGCAGAUAUCAGGAGGAACACCGGUGGCGAAGGCGGGUCUCUGGGCCGAUACUGACGCUGAGGAGCGAAAGCGUGGGGAGCGAACAGGAUUAGAUACCCUAGUAGUCC
RNAcentral lists this ribosomal RNA (771 nucleotides) under uncultured bacterium. Its description in RNAcentral is "bacterial SSU rRNA". It matches the Rfam family "Bacterial small subunit ribosomal RNA", at positions 8 to 796 of the family's 1533-position model. The record is from RNAcentral.